Passer montanus (Eurasian tree sparrow) is the source of this 1508-nucleotide long non-coding RNA. RefSeq lists it as uncharacterized. The transcript is spliced from 5 exons. The record is from RefSeq and is a predicted model, not a curated record. Lineage: Eukaryota; Metazoa; Chordata; Aves; Passeriformes; Passeridae.
CACUGCACAGCUUCUAACUACUGAAGCAGGCUUUCCCUUGGGAGCUGAACAACUCAAGUUUGAAGGGGAUGGAGAUCCCUCUGCUGAGAAAAAUGCAUGGUCUGGAAAAAAUAUGAAACAUGUGAACAUCUCUCAUCAUCUCUAUAAUCUACAAACCCUUCUGGAUGGGCUUACUAGCACAUCCCUGGAGAGACAGCAGCCUGUGUGUCUCUGGACUUCAGACUCAUCACAAUCUGUACAGCAAACCUCGUGGUAGAUAAAGAAUUGACGUCAAUUCACCACAGGAGGGUAAAGCAGUUUCAGGUGAGACUGGUAACACCCGCAGUAUUGGGAUGAGGAGACUGGCUUAUUCUUACAGGAAAUUUCUGAAGGUUGCACAGGGAGAAGCAACUCAAGACAUCAACUUUUUCUGCACUUGCACCUGUUCUGCAGCAGUUGCUGUAGGUUGAUGAAGCCCUUCUGCACUGAAGCAGCCGGCAUCCCUCACAAUGGAAUGUGAUCAGAAGGCAAGUGAACAUGCCUUCAGCUCAUAUCUCAGUCUCUGUCCCUGGUUCCAGGCCGGUCUUGUGGAAGGAAAAUGAUGUUAACAUGCACCUGAUAUAAACCGAGUAUCUGAAAGCAGAAGGUGAUUCUCCUUCCUGAAAUGUAAAUAAGACACCCAGCUCAGUGUUUCCUUUUCCAAGGAUCGGUUCUUUCGGCGCUGCGGAGGAGCCGGCUCCCUGCGGCGGUCGGGGCCAUCUCCGGCAGCGCACUGCCCCCUAGCACCGCCGCGCACAUUCCUGCGCCAUGGAGCGAGAGGGACCCUGCUCAGCCAGCGGCACCUGCGGGACGCGCCUUUCCCUGGGAAUUUUCACAGCGACUGUGGACCCAGCCCAGUCAUGCUGGGCUUGCGGGAUCCGACAGGAUCACAGCAUGAAGCUGUGCGGCUGCUCGGUAAGGCAGAGAUGUCCUUAAUUCUGUUCAGCAGUGUGCUCUUGAUGGAACACUGGAAUAACACGGAUUUCUUUAUUUGGUGACAUUAACCAAAUGUGAACUCCGAUUUUCUCAUAUGAAGAUCAAGGUGUCUAUUUUCUCCUUCUUUCAAUGCUGUCUUCUUUAUGGCCAUAUAAGGUUUAAAGUUUUAUCUGAGCAAAGAAGCGGAAUGAUAGUUUGAUAGUUUUUAUUUUAUUUUUUUCCCUUUGCAGUUUUUCCCAUGCAGACAGUGCAUAGAGGAGGAAUUCAGAGAUAAUUCUCCUUUCAGUUCCUUCAUUGACUUUUUCUGUUACUCUGACACCAUUAUCAAUAUUUUCUCAUAUAAAUAAACACUCAGAAUCCUUGCCUGGCUUUUUCAGAGUUCACUUUGCUGGCAGGUCUUAAAGGGGAUAGGCUAAUAUUUGAUAUCUAAUAGAUAUUAUCAGAUGCUAACAUAGAAUAUCUCCAUUUACAGAUGAUAAAAUGAGUGUACAGGGAGAUUAAAGUAUUUAACAAAGGCCUUGAGCAGGCCACUGGCCAGACUGAACUUUCCUGAG